RNAcentral lists this ribosomal RNA (253 nucleotides) under uncultured bacterium. RNAcentral's name for it is "partial 16S ribosomal RNA". It matches the Rfam family "Bacterial small subunit ribosomal RNA", at positions 524 to 776 of the family's 1533-position model. The record is from RNAcentral.
GACGGGGGAUGCAAGCGUUAUCCGGAAUCACUGGGCGUUAAGCGUCUGUAGGUGGUGAUGCAAGUCACUGGUGCAAAACUCUGGCUCAACCGGAGGAAAGCCAGUGAAACUGCAUGAAUAGAGUGUGGGAGAGGUAGAAGGAAUUCCCUGAGUAGCGGUGAACUGCGUAGAUACAGGGAAGAACACCGGAGGCGAAAGCGUUCUACUGGAACACAACUGACACUGAGAGACGAAAGCUAGGGGAGCGAAUGGG